RNAcentral lists this ribosomal RNA (266 nucleotides) under uncultured bacterium. Its description in RNAcentral is "partial 16S ribosomal RNA". It matches the Rfam family "Bacterial small subunit ribosomal RNA", at positions 355 to 614 of the family's 1533-position model. The record is from RNAcentral.
UGGGGAAUAUUGCACAAUGGGCGCAAGCCUGAUGCAGCCAUGCCGCGUGUGUGAAGAAGGCCUUCGGGUUGUAAAGCACUUUCAGCGAGGAGGAAGGGUAGUGUGUUAAUAGCACAUUGCAUUGACGUUACUCGCAGAAGAAGCACCGGCUAACUCCGUGCCAGCAGCCGCGGUAAUACGGAGGGUGCAAGCGUUAAUCGGAAUUACUGGGCGUAAAGCGCACGCAGGCGGUUUGUUAAGUCAGAUGUGAAAUCCCGCGCUUAACG